RNAcentral lists this ribosomal RNA (462 nucleotides) under Bacillus licheniformis. Its description in RNAcentral is "bacterial SSU rRNA". It matches the Rfam family "Bacterial small subunit ribosomal RNA", at positions 383 to 831 of the family's 1533-position model. The record is from RNAcentral. Lineage: Bacteria; Bacillati; Bacillota; Bacilli; Caryophanales; Bacillaceae.
CUGACGGAGCAACGCCGCGUGAGUGAUGAAGGUUUUCGGAUCGUAAAACUCUGUUGUUAGGGAAGAACAAGUACCGUUCGAAUAGGGCGGUACCUUGACGGUACCUAACCAGAAAGCCACGGCUAACUACGUGCCAGCAGCCGCGGUAAUACGUAGGUGGCAAGCGUUGUCCGGAAUUAUUGGGCGUAAAGCGCGCGCAGGCGGUUUCUUAAGUCUGAUGUGAAAGCCCCCGGCUCAACCGGGGAGGGUCAUUGGAAACUGGGGAACUUGAGUGCAGAAGAGGAGAGUGGAAUUCCACGUGUAGCGGUGAAAUGCGUAGAGAUGUGGAGGAACACCAGUGGCGAAAGGCGACUCUCUGGUCUGUAACUGACGCUGAGGCGCGAAUANCGUGGGGANCGAACAGGAUUACAUUACCCUGGUNNUCCCCCCCCGUAAACGAUGANUGCNUAAUUGUUAAGAGGG